UACGGAGGGUGCAAGCGUUAUCCGGAUUUACUGGGUUUAAAGCGUGCGCAGGCGGUUUUGUAAGCCAGAUGUGAAAUCCCCGGGCUUAACCUGGGAAUGGCAUUUGGGACUGCAAGGCUGGAGUGCGGCAGAGGAGACUGGAAUUCCUGGUGUAGCAGUGAAAUGCGUAGAUAUCAGGAGGAACACCGGUGGCGAAGGCGGGACUCUGGGCCGAUACUGACGCUGAGGAGCGAAAGCGUGGGGAGCAAACAGG
RNAcentral lists this ribosomal RNA (253 nucleotides) under uncultured bacterium. Its description in RNAcentral is "partial 16S ribosomal RNA". It matches the Rfam family "Bacterial small subunit ribosomal RNA", at positions 524 to 776 of the family's 1533-position model. The record is from RNAcentral.